CAAUAAAGGCAGCACAUACAUUCUCUUAGUAAAACAGUAGGAAAUCUGGUCUUUCUUUUCCUGAUACCUUGGACUUGCUUGUGGCAUGGGUGCUGCAAUUGGAGGUCUCACCAAGAUCCAGAGAGACUUGGAAAGACUGGGAAAGAUUGUCCAAAAAGAAGACUCGGGAGAGGAGAGACUCGAGAAAGAAAAGAUUUGAAAACAGAGAUAUGUGAAGAUGCCCAGAUGAUCCAUACAAAAUACUUCGGAUUUCAUAAGAGGAAUACUAAACAUUGGAAAGUUGAAUAUUUCAUAAGAGGAGGCUGGCCUCAAACUCCCUGUGCAGAAAAUUCCUGAAUCUCCUCCACUGAACUGGGAUCAUAGAGAUGUACCACCAUGCGAGCUUGUGUGGUAUGAGGGUUUGAACCCAGGCAUUUGUGCACUCUUCACAAGGACUCUACAA
Mesocricetus auratus (golden hamster) is the source of this 442-nucleotide long non-coding RNA. RefSeq lists it as uncharacterized. The record is from RefSeq and is a predicted model, not a curated record. Lineage: Eukaryota; Metazoa; Chordata; Mammalia; Rodentia; Cricetidae. The transcript is spliced from 3 exons.